AACAAAGCAAGCAGAAGCCAUGGUGGACGACGAAGCUAGAAGUCAACGCCUCUGCCCCCGCCUUCCCCUGCGAAUCUGUGAAUCUGGUGCUACUUCAGAGUGCAAUUAGGGUUAUGAACUAAAUUAUGAAUACAUUCUCUCCACCAGAAGUGAUGCUUUUCCAGGAUGAAACAGUGGUGAAGAAGUGCAGAAAGUAAGAUCUAUUUGGAGAACUUACAUUCAUCUAUAGCAUCAAGAAACUAAGGUCUAUUGGGAGAAGAGGAGAAGAAGAAAGGGCUUUCUCUUUCUCCUGCUGAUUCUAUCUGUGUCCAAAGGAAGAAAUUCACCAUUCACAUAUGUCAUUGUUGACAACCAAAAGUGAAAAAACUCGUACAUGCAUUUCCACUCAAGGAUAUCCACACAAAUCAAAAUUGUCUUCAGCCCUUGAUGGAGUAAAUAUUGUCUACUUAGAUGGAAGAUUGCAUGAGACUGCUUUUCUUGUAGCGCAAGAGGUAUACCCAUCAUCUACACUUGAUCAAAGUCAUUGAAGUAGAAGGCUGUGGAUUCUGCAUUGAUCGACAUUGAAGCAUUGCUGGAUUUGAAGGCUUAUUUGGGUGCAUCGAUCAUACUUAAGUAGUAUUGAUUAAGUAGUAUAUAUUUUCAUGAUUUAUUUAUUUAUUUAUUUUUAUUUUUUUUGUAUGAUAAUAGUUCAUUGUUGGAAGUACAAUGGACAUGACCAUAAUUUUGAUGUUUAAAUAUAUUUUCAAUUU
Molecule: long non-coding RNA, 749 nt
Organism: Ipomoea nil (Japanese morning glory)
Lineage: Eukaryota; Viridiplantae; Streptophyta; Magnoliopsida; Solanales; Convolvulaceae
Exons: 6
Source: RefSeq, a predicted model, not a curated record